UUUGAUUCAUUGUGACGUGUGGGGACCGUAUCGCACACCAGCUUCUUGUGGGGCAGUUUAUUUCUUAACUAUUGUUGAUGAUCACUCAAGAGCGGUUUGGACUUAUCUAAUGCUUGAAAAGUCCGAAGUCGCUUCUCUUCUACGAAAUUUCUGUGCAAUGGCGGAUAGACAGUUUGGGAAAAAGGUCCAAACAAUUCGGACAGACAAUGGCACUGAGUUUAUGACUCUGGCGCCCUACUUCCGUGACAAUGGUAUACGCCACCAGACCUCCUGCACUUAUACGCCCCAACAAAACGGCAGAGUCGAACGAAAACAUCGCCAUAUUUUAAAUGUGGCUCGAGCCUGCUUAUUCCAGUCUAGAUUACCUGUUGAAUUCUGGGGAGAAAGCAUACUUGCCGCGGCACAUAUGAUCAAUCGAACUCCAACGCAAGUUCUUGAUGGAAAAACUCCGUAUGAAGUUCUUCAUGGAACUCCCCCUAUAUACGAUCAACUACGCGUGUUUGGGUGCCUGUGUUACGCACACACACGACCAAGAGACAGAGAUAAGUUCAGUCCACGAAGUCGAAAAUGUCUUUUUGUGGGUUACCCCUUCGGCAAGAAAGCAUGGCGCCUAUAUGAUCUCGAGUCUAAUGAAUUUUUCACAAGCCGGGAUGUGGCUUUCUUGGAGGACCAGUUUCCGGGGAUUGAGGAUGCAGUAUAUGUUAAACCACCGGUAAUACAGACUGACCUUCCAGCUGAUGAUUGGCUUCUUACGCCGGAACCACCAACGAUCCCACCUGCCGGCACCAAUGAAUCUAGUGAGACAAUAAACAUUGCACCUACGUCUGUAAUAUUGCCAGCGGCUUCUCCUAGUGGAACACCUGUUAGUUUGGAACCAGUUGUCCCUACGUCACCUUCUACACCAUCACCUACGCGUUCAGUGUCUCCUACAUCAUCGCCAUCUCAGUCGCGUGAACAAACUGAACAGAUACCAUCGCCUGGACUUCUGGAAGUUCUUGGUAGAGGUCAACGCGCAAAGAAACCGUCUGUUCUUCUGAAGAACUAUCUUAUUAACUCUGCUACAACUUUGACACCCCCUCACGGCUCUCAUACUUCACCUGUACACGAUCAGAGUUCUCCAACUACGGGUCCAGGUAAGACUCUUUAUCCCAUAUCUGAUUAUUCGUCUACGACUAUGUUUACUCCGAAACAUCAGGCAUUCUUGGCGAAAAUCACAACAGACUAUGUCCCCAAAACUUACAAAGAAGCAGUCAAAGAUCCAAGGUUUAAUGGCGCAAUGAAAUCUGAGGUCACUGCUUUGGAGGAUAAUCAUACAUGGGACGUAACUCCAUUACCACCUGGAAAAAGAGCUAUAAGUUGUCGCUGGAUUUACUCGAAUAAAUAUCGAGCGGAUGGUACACUUGAGAGACCUAAAGCACGUCUAGUGGCCUGUGGAAAUCGACAGAGAGAAGGUCUCGAUUACAAAGAUACGUUUGCACCGGUGGCUAAGAUGAACACUGUUCGAUUUAUUCUCAAAGUGGCAGCAGCCAAGAGAUGGGAAGUUCAUCAGAUGGACGUCCAUAAUGCAUUUUUGCAUGGAGAUCUUGAGGAAGAAAUAUAUAUGCAACUACCCCCUGGUUUUCAAACAGAUGACGAGACAAAGGUUUGCAGACUUCGAAAAUCCUUGUAUGGCCUCAAACAAUCUCCUCGCUGUUGGUUUGCAAAGCUCAGCAAAGCUCUUCUCUCAUUUGGGUUCAAGCAGAGCUAUGAAGAUUACUCUCUCUUCUCGUUUGUGAAAGGCAGCAUAUGUCUUCACAUAUUGGUCUAUGUAGAUGAUUUUAUAAUCGUUGGGAACGAUAUUUCUACAAUCCAACGCUUCAAGAACUAUCUCAGCACCUGUUUUAAGAUGAAAGACUUAGGUAAACUCAAAUAUUUCCUUGGUUUGGAAAUUGCAAGGGGACCUGACGGCAUCUUCGUCUCUCAGAGGAAAUAUGCACUAGAUAUAAUUACUGAAUGCGGUCUGUUGGGAGCUAAACCGGCAGCGGUGCCUACAGAACUUAAUCAUAAGCUGGCUCUUGUCAAGGGCCGUCCCCUCCUGGAUCCAAGCAAGUACCGGCGGCUUGUGGGUCGUCUCAUUUAUCUAACCUUUACUCGCCCUGAACUAAGCUACAUUGUCCACAUACUUUCCCAAUUUAUGCAGAAACCACAAGAGGAUCAUUGGAUAGCAGCUUUGCGUGUCGUCCGCUAUUUAAAAGGUUGCCCGGAUCAAGGAAUUAUGCUCACGUCCAACAGUGAUCUAAGGUUGACAGCGUACUCUGAUUCUGAUUGGUCGGCUUGCCCAAUUACGAGGCGUUCCUUGAGUGCUUAUGUGGUUAUGCUUGGUGAUUCCAUUGUCUCUUGGAAGACCAAGAAGCAACGUACGGUUUCCAGGUCUUCAGCAGAGGCCGAAUACAGAUCAAUGGCAGACACAACGUGUGAAUUGAAAUGGCUCAAACGCCUCCUCCUCCAGCUUGGGUUCUCCCAUUCUCAACCAAUGCGAAUGUUCUGUGAUAGUCAAGCUGCGAUACAUAUAGCUAAGAACCCGGUGUUUCAUGAACGUACAAAACAUGUGGAGAAUGAUUGUCAUACGGUACGAGAUGCAGUUCAAGCUAAACUUCUAACCACUGAACAUAUCACUACGAAGAACCAACCUGCAGAUUUGCUUACUAAAGCAUUACCAGUCCCGGCAUUUCAGUUCUUAUUGUCCAAGUUGGGAAUUCGAGAUAUGUCAUUACCAACUUGAGGGGGGGUAAAGGGAUAAUGAUAAUGUUAUAUUUCCUAUAUUGUAGGAUUUGGGUUAAUCACAUAUUUCCAAUUCCUAGUUAGCGUAUGAUAUUCUCUUUGUAUAUAAACCCUUUGUGGGAUGAUGAAUAAAGUACACGUUCUAUUCAUAUUUU
Molecule: long non-coding RNA, 2915 nt
Filed under: Brassica rapa (field mustard)
Lineage: Eukaryota; Viridiplantae; Streptophyta; Magnoliopsida; Brassicales; Brassicaceae
Description: long non-coding RNA (BRAP_LNC004123)
Source: RNAcentral